UGGGGAAUAUUGGACAAUGGGGGAAACCCUGAUCCAGCAAUGCCGCGUGAGUGAAGAAGGCCUUCGGGUUGUAAAGCUCUUUCAGCAGGGAAGAUAAUGACGGUACCUGCAGAAGAAGCCCCGGCUAACUCCGUGCCAGCAGCCGCGGUAAGACGGAGGGGGCUAGCGUUGUUCGGAAUUACUGGGCGUAAAGGGCGCGUAGGCGGCUCUUCAAGUUAGACGUGAAAGCCCUGGGCUUAACCUAGGAAUAGCGUUUAAUACUGGAGGGCUAGAGAUCGGUAGAGGGAAAUGGAAUUCCUAGUGUAGAGGUGAAAUUCGUAGAUAUUAGGAAGAACACCAGAGGCGAAGGCGGUUUCCUGGGCCGAUACUGACGCUGAGGCGCGAAAGCGUGGGGAGCAAACAG
Molecule: ribosomal RNA, 403 nt
Filed under: uncultured bacterium
Lineage: Bacteria
Description: bacterial SSU rRNA
Rfam family: Bacterial small subunit ribosomal RNA
Source: RNAcentral